RNAcentral lists this ribosomal RNA (460 nucleotides) under uncultured bacterium. Its description in RNAcentral is "partial 16S ribosomal RNA". It matches the Rfam family "Bacterial small subunit ribosomal RNA", at positions 338 to 795 of the family's 1533-position model. The record is from RNAcentral.
CCUACGGGAGGCUGCAGUGAGGAAUAUUGGUCAAUGGACGAGAGUCUGAACCAGCCAAGUAGCGUGAAGGAUGACUGCCCUAUGGGUUGUAAACUUCUUUUAUAUGGGAAUAAAACGUUCCACGUGUGGGAUUUUGUAUGUACCAUAUGAAUACGGAUCGGCUAACUCCGUGCCAGCAGCCGCGGUAAUACGGAGGAUCCGAGCGUUAUCCGGAUUUAUUGGGUUUAAAGGGAGCGUAGGUGGAUUGUUAAGUCAGUUGUGAAAGUUUGCGGCUCAACCGUAAAAUUGCAGUUGAAACUGGCAGUCUUGAGUACAGUAGAGGUGGGCGGAAUUCGUGGUGUAGCGGUGAAAUGCUUAGAUAUCACGAAGAACUCCGAUUGCGAAGGCAGUUCACUGGACUGCAACUGACACUGAGGCUCGAAAGUGUGGGUAUCAAACAGGAUUAGAUACCCUGGUAGUC